AGUGAACGCUGGCGGUAGGCCUAACACAUGCAAGUCGAACGGCAGCACAGUAAGAGCUUGCUCUUACGGGUGGCGAGUGGCGGACGGGUGAGGAAUACAUCGGAAUCUACUUUUUCGUGGGGGAUAACGUAGGGAAACUUACGCUAAUACCGCAUACGACCUACGGGUGAAAGCAGGGGAUCUUCGGACCUUGCGCGAUUGAAUGAGCCGAUGUCGGAUUAGCUAGUUGGCGGGGUAAAGGCCCACCAAGGCGACGAUCCGUAGCUGGUCUGAGAGGAUGAUCGGCCACACUGGAGCUGGGACACGGUCCAGACUCCUACGGGAGGCAGCAGUGGGCAAUGUUGGGCAAUGGGGGCAAGCCUGAUCCAGCCAUACCGCGUGGGUGGAGAAGGCGUUCGGUUUGUAAAGCCCUUUUGUUGGGAAAGAAAAGCAGCAGGUUAAUACCCAGCGGUUCUGACGGUACCCAAAAAAUAAGCACCGGCUAACUUCGUG
This 492-nucleotide ribosomal RNA is filed under the name uncultured bacterium. RNAcentral's name for it is "partial 16S ribosomal RNA". It matches the Rfam family "Bacterial small subunit ribosomal RNA", at positions 29 to 507 of the family's 1533-position model. The record is from RNAcentral.